CCUACGGGAGGCAGCAGUGAGGAAUAUUGGUCAAUGGGCUUACGCCUGAACCAGCCAAGUCGCGUGAGGGAAGACUGCCCUAUGGGUUGUAAACCUCUUUUGUCAGGGAGCAACGCCGGCUACGUGUAGCCGGACUGAGAGUACCUGAAGAAAAAGCAUCGGCUAACUCCGUGCCAGCAGCCGCGGUAAUACGGAGGAUCCGAGCGUUAUCCGGAUUUAUUGGGUUUAAAGGGUGCGUAGGCGGUUUGAUAAGUUAGAGGUGAAAUGUCGGGGCUCAACCCCGAAACUGCCUCUAAUACUGUUGGACUAGAGAAUAGUUGCGGUAGGCGGAAUGUAUGGUGUAGCGGUGAAAUGCUUAGAGAUCAUACAGAACACCGAUUGCGAAGGCAGCUUACCAAACUAUAUCUGACGUUGAGGCACGAAAGCGUGGGUAGCAAACAGGAUUAGAUACCCCAGUAGUC
Molecule: ribosomal RNA, 461 nt
Filed under: uncultured bacterium
Lineage: Bacteria
Description: partial 16S ribosomal RNA
Rfam family: Bacterial small subunit ribosomal RNA
Source: RNAcentral